This is a long non-coding RNA of Columba livia (rock pigeon), 4303 nucleotides long. RefSeq lists it as uncharacterized. The record is from RefSeq and is a predicted model, not a curated record. Lineage: Eukaryota; Metazoa; Chordata; Aves; Columbiformes; Columbidae. The transcript has 2 exons.
AGAAAAAAGCAAAGCCCACACAUUUGUCAAAGCUGAAGCGUUCCGUAGAGCUGUAUCGUUGGGGCAGACUUUUGCCAAAAGCCGGGCAGACUUCUGGUGGCAGCCUGCCUGAUUUCCUAACCCUUUUCCUAGCAAACAGCCUCAAAACCAUGUUCCCAGGAUGGCUCCAGGCUGCCAGGGCUCACAGCUGCCCGGCCCGCGGUUUGCAGGAGGCAGCCGGCAGCUCGUUCCCUGCUCGGGUGGGAGGACAGCGGCUCCAGGCACCGCUUUGCACGGGACCCCGCACUGCAGGAAUCCCACGCCUCGCCCCACAGCUCUUGUCUCUUCCGUGACGUCUCUUGUCUGCUGGAAGCAGCCCCAGCAACCCUCCGGAGCUGGGGCAGCGCGGGAAGUGUCAACUGACAGCUCUGCUUUGUUUCAGGGGAAAGAAAGAAACACAAUCCCUUCUCAUCUUCUCUGGUGGCCUCGCUUAACUUCUCAUUGCCUCAGCCCGUGAGGUUCUGGGAUUGUAAAGCCCUGUAAAAGACUCAGGAAUCCUGCCACUCAGGGGAGGAAGACUCUAGAUGUGAAAAGACCUUCUCUGACCUGUUUGGAACAAAUUCCAAGCCUGUCCUCCCAUGGAUGUACCCUGAAGGCAUUUACUGAGUGUGCACAAGAGAUGUGCCAAUGGACCAGAGAAAAGGUGUCCUGGUGGGGUGUCUCUAAGGGAAGAUGAGAAGAGAACCCUCCUGGCUGCUACCUGUCACUCCUUGUCUGAAGUGCAGCCUGGAGAGAGAUACCCGAUCAUCCAAACCAAACACUAUCUGGAUGCAGACACAGUCUGCUCAGCUCAAGAGGAUCCUUCGACAUUGCUGGCCCUUAUAAGCGUUUGGCUCGGGCAACCUCAACUGGCCACCUGCUCCCUGAGCACCUGCUCAGACAGUGAUCUCACUGCUCAGCAUCCUGGUGGCUUCUGGGGUCUAAAGACCACUAAGUCGAGACCCAAAGGGUAGCUACAGGGACAUGCCUGCAUCCUGCGUGAACAGGAACAGUGAAGGUGACAGUUUUGAGCUUUUGUGAGAACAAAAUUUUUCAAUGUUACAUCUUAUCUCCUUCCUCAGUCUUCGGGUGAAUGUCCUGAGCUUCAAAAUGUUCCACUUGAAGAACCAAGAAAGGUGUUCUUCAUCCCCACCAGAACCCCAGGCAUGGCAAGCUCAAAUGAGUUUGGGUCAGAGCUAAAGAAUACCCCUUAAAGACACAGAAGAGCCUUUGGACACGCACGGGGAAGCAGGAAGGCAUGUGGAUGUGCCUUGGCAAGUCCAGGAAGGCGACCAGCUUCCUGAAGGCAUUUAGGGACACCCAGGAGAGCUGUGGGGAAGAGAGCUGGCCUGGAAGAGUGCCCCACAGCCUCCUCCCACCGCUGAGUCCCCAGCAGGUAGUGACAUAAGCCAAGCAGGUUUAUUCUCAGUGACAUUUUGGGGGAUGCCUCGCAAAGAUGAGUCAGGCUGUGCCUGAUGCAUAAAAACAUCGAUGCAGAGUCUUGUGGGGCAGUUUUAGUGGCUAUGGAGGAGACAGACCCACCUGAGCCAGCCUCAUUAGUCUGGUCCUUGGGAAGUGCUGACCACAGGUAGAACCACCAAGACCUGCAAGGGCAUCCCAAACACCCUUCCCUUUCUUCCAUAAAGUCAUUAAGGCUCUUAGAAACUCUUGUAGCAGCUAGAACUGAGGUGUCCUUUCAGUGAGGUGUCCACCCAGAGGUAUCUCAUACCUCUGCCUACAGUAUUCCCAUCCCAUCAUUGCCCUGUUGCUAGGGUGCUCAGCCUAGCAAUGACUGCUGCUGACACGAGACCUUAGAUACUGCCUAUCAGAUUUCCCGUGAGCAGCAGAGAGCAAUGAAAACAGAGAUCAGAGAGACGAAGAGAGGAGCCUAGCCUGCUAAUUACAGUGGUAAAGCAACAUUCAGCACCUGCUGCUGGCAGUUACGUCCUUCUGCCAGGGGAUAUACGGCAAAACAGGUUUGGUUGGUGGUGAGACGGCAGCAAAACAGGAUUCAUUAGGGACAGGAGUGGUGGGGAAACAAUUGGUCUUACAAUAAAGGAAGAAAGCAAACUGGUGGGCUUAGAAGCUGGAUGAGUGCAGUUGUGAUGCACUCAUGAUCCUGCCAGCCCAGGUCUACCUCCUUCAGAUGGAUUGGGCUUGCGGAGAGACAAGUUGUCUUGAUCAUCACCCUUCUGUCGUAUCUGCGCUCAUCUCUGUGCAAAUCACAAUGUUUUCUUCGUCCUGCUGUUCUGUCAGGGUGAUUUCUGUCAGCAGGGUCUCUGGCCAAGGUGAUUGCAGCAGCCUAUUUUUGGGACUGCCCUUGAGAGAUGGAAGCCAGGAAGGUGGAGCCCAGCUGUUGCGGUGUCGGUGCCCUGGAGAGGCCCUCACACCUGCAGUCCGUGCUGGCUGCUCUCCAGUGCCUUGCUAAUUGCAUUGGGGUCCUUAAAUAAUACAGUGGCCACGUGCUGAAGGGGCUGCUGGCUGACUCUCCCAGUGCUCAGGGGGGAAAGGAAGCUCAGCUGGGGGCCAUUUCAGGCUGUAGGAGAUGGGAACGUCUCAGUUCAGGUCCUGGGAUUUUGGCUGCAAAGGUGCUCUCUGACUCAGCUUUGUUGCUGGGUGCCUGCUGACUCCCCGGGAUAUUUAUCUGGCUCUGAGAGUCAGCAAGGGGCUCACAGAUCCUCACUUUUUUGAAGCCAGUUUAGGUACAGACAGGGAUUUAAGGGACAGGUCUGCAACCAAAUAUACAUGCAUCCUAUACUGAGCAUGGAGCUUUAUUUAUCUCAUCCUACAACUCUAGAUAACAACCCACUGAGGUGUUGUCCACCCACAAAGCUGCCCCACUCACCUGAAUAUGGCAAGGAACCAUCUAAGUAGCUUUUUCCUGGGCUUCCCUUGAUCGGUUGGCCUGCAACACCAUGAAAUUAAGGCAGAGACCUGGGUGAAAGCAUGAUGAGCACCCUGCAGCUUUGCCUUCCAGACCUGCCCAUGCAGCGAACAAGUCCUUCCUGGAGCAGGAGGAUCCCACAGGACCCAGGUUGACAGUGAUGCAUGGGUUUCUACUUCUUCUUACAUUGUGUUACACCCUUCCCAGGCUUAGCAGGGUCUGCUCAAGCCUCAGGGUCUGAAAUUUGCCUGCAUGAGAAUGGCAGCACUGCAAGCCCAAAGGCCUACCUUGCAUAGGUCCUGUUUCCAAGAGCAGUUGAUACCUAGGGAAGCAUACAAGAAGAUAAGCACACAGUACAUUCCCCUGCCUCUAGCUGGUUUUCCUGAGCCAGAUGUAAUCUACAGAGUUCACACUUUUCAGUGGGUUUCUCUUCCAUGGUCUUGUGGCGAUGUUAGGGCUGUGAUAUCCUUUCUCAAGGAGUUCCACAGCCCCUCAACACGUUGCAUGACAAAUUGCUUCCUUCUAUCUGCUUCAACUUACUGACUUUGUUUCAUGCCCCUGCUUCUCAACUGGGAGAGAGAAUGAGUAAUCCCUGUUCACCUGCCCCAAGCUGCUCACCUUUUUCUGGUCUUCUCAGCUGCCCCUCGGGUGUCUCUUCCUGCUCUGACUGUCCAUGAGAGGUAGCUGCAGUUCAGUUUUAUGGGCAAGAAAUGCUGUGGCCUGCAGAGUUAUCUCAGUAAAGCCCAAGUCUUGCAAUACUUUCCGAAUGUUGCUGAAUUUGUCUUUCCAGCACACCUGCCAAGCUGAGAAAUCCUGCUACCCUUAUUCUAAUGAGGUGCAGCACGGCCAGGGAUCAAACACUUCCCUGAUGCAGAACAAGUAUUUGAAAACCAAGGACUGAGCCUUCACCUCCUGUUUCCCAUCCGAGAGGUGCUUUGCUAACCUCACCCAACCAGCUGACCAAAAACUGUCCUGCCAUUACAGCGAUUGACCCACCGAUGCUGAAAUUUGAACAGCGACUGUGAGCAUCACCUGGGUUGUCAUCUGGCUCAGAUACCUGCAAAAAGCAGGCGGGAGACAAGUCACGUUUCACAAACAAAGGGAAGGAGGGGAUGGGGGCAGGGGAGCAACUGAGCCAGUGGAACUGUUUGUGCAGCCGUAAUCACACCAUAAGCAAGGCAAAUGCCCUUGUGCUAGCCUGGCAAACAGGCCCUGGCGACCAGAACUGCUCAAAGCGAAGCUGCCUUUGCUUGGGGACUCGGUCCCCUGAGCAGUAUGUGCUCCCACACUGGCUGCCCACAGGGACAAUGCUUUGUUCCUUUUUGUCCACGGAAAAAUUGAUCCUUCCGUGUUUUAACUUUAAAUCUGUUUGCCCUUAUUAAAUUUAUUUAUUUAUUUAUC